AGAUUGAACGCUGGCGGCAUGCUUUACACAUGCCUGUCGAACGGCCGCACGGACUUCGGUCUGGUGGCGAGUGGCGAACGGGUGAGUAAUACAUCGGAACGCGUCCUGUAAUGGGGGAUAACCUGGCGAAAGCCAGGCUAAUACCGCAUAAUCUCUGAGGAGAAAAGCAGGGGAUCGCAAGACCUUGCGCUUUAGGAGCGGCCGAUGCCUGAUUAGCUAGUAGGUGAGGUAAAAGCUCACCUAGGCGACGAUCCGUAGCUGGUCUGAGAGGACGACCAGCCACACUGGGACUGAGACACGGCCCAGACUCCUACGGGAGGCAGCAGUGGGGAAUUUUGGACAAUGGGGGGAACCCUGAUCCAGCAAUGCCGCGUGUGUGAAGAAGGCCUGCGGGUUGUAAAGCACUUUCAAUUGGGAAGAAAGAUUUAGAGUUAAUACCUCUUAAUAUUGACGUUACCAAUAGAAGAAGCACCGGCUAACUCUGUGCCAGCAGCCGCGGUAAUACAGAGGGUGCAAGCGUUAAUCGGAAUUACUGGGCGUAAAGCGUUCGUAGGCGGUCUAUUAAGCAAGAUGUGAAAGCCCAGGGCUCAACCUUGGAACUGCAUUUUGAACUGGUAGACUAGAGUACUGUAGAGGGUGGUGGAAUUUCCAGUGUAGCGGUGAAAUGCGUAGAGAUUGGAAGGAACAUCAGUGGCGAAGGCGGCCACCUGGACAGAUACUGACGCUGAGGAACGAAAGCGUGGGGAGCGAACAGGAUUAGAUACCCUGGUAGUCCACGCCGUAAACGAUGUCAACUAGCCGUUUGGAGGACUUGAUCCUUUAGUGGCGCAGCUAACGCGUUAAGUUGACCGCCUGGGGAGUACGGCCGCAAGGUUAAAACUCAAAUGAAUUGACGGGGACCCGCACAAGCGGUGGAUUAUGUGGAUUAAUUCGAUUCAACGCGAAAAACCUUACCUACCCUUGACAUGUAUCGAAGUCCGCAGAAAAGCGGAGGUGCCCGAAAGGGAACGAUAACACAGGUGCUGCAUGGCUGUCGUCAGCUCGUGUCGUGAGAUGUUGGGUUAAGUCCCGCAACGAGCGCAACCCUUGUCAUUAAUUGCCAUCAUUUAGUUGGGCACUUUAAUGAGACUGCCGGUGACAAACCGGAGGAAGGUGGGGAUGACGUCAAGUCCUCAUGGCCCUUAUGGGUAGGGCUUCACACGUAAUACAAUGGCGCGUACAGAGGGUUGCCAACCCGCGAGGGGGAGCUAAUCUCAGAAAGCGCGUCGUAGUCCGGAUCGGAGUCUGCAACUCGACUCCGUGAAGUCGGAAUCGCUAGUAAUCGCGGAUCAGCAUGUCGCGGUGAAUACGUUCCCGGGCCUUGUACACACCGCCCGUCACACCAUGGGAGUGGGUUCCACCAGAAGCAGGUAGUCUAACCGCAAGGAGGGCGCUUGCCACGGUGAGAUUCAUGACU
RNAcentral lists this ribosomal RNA (1456 nucleotides) under uncultured prokaryote. Its description in RNAcentral is "partial 16S ribosomal RNA". It matches the Rfam family "Bacterial small subunit ribosomal RNA". The record is from RNAcentral.